UAAAAAUUACACAUAAAUUUUGUGCUUUUUUAUUUUUUUUAUAAGUGAAUUUUUAAACAAGUUUCCUUUGGUCAUAUGAAACCAUGAAACGAAAAGAACCACAUUGAUUGAUUUAUUUAUGGUUCAUAGGUUGAAUUAUAAAAAGGUAAAUAUGCGCUUAAAUGGUUAAGUCAUAAUAUACACGCACACUUCUUUAUAGAAUGAAAUACCUACCCUGUCGACGCAAGUGUUUCGUACUUUUAUUUAUGCAAUACACUUAUUAUUUUUAUCUUGAUUUUAUCUUCAUAUAACAGUUGUUUUUUCACUUGUUUUAUUUGUUUGAUCGUUUAAUUUUGCCAUUUUUAAGGGACUUUUCGGUUUGAGUCUUUCUUAGAGUUUGAUACUUUUUGUUAUUUUGCUUCUUACUGGUUUUAAAGGUUUAACAUAGGACAAACUACUGUUGCCUCGAAUGAUCAUUUCUUCAUUUUAUAUUUCAGUUGUAGUGUUCAAUGUCAACACGAUAUCAAUUCGACAAGAAAAAACGAAAGGAACAAACUAACACACAAACACUAUAUUAAACUAACGACCAACAGAUGGCUAGCCAAUAAACAGACGUGCAAAAUGAAGACACACAGAAGCUAACAUCAAACGAUACAGAUAGACUGACUUUGGACAGAGACAAAAUAUACCGAAAAGGUGAAGAUCGAAGUUAGGUUUAUAACUAUCAACCGACAGAAUGAGAAAAUUAGCGGAUGUUGUGUUUUUCGGAGAUCUAAUUUUUCAGAAUUUCAUUUUUGUUGCCAUCAAAAAGUCAAAUAACAAAAUUUACCGAACUUCAAGGGAAGUUCAAAUGGAAAGACCUUUAAAAAAUGACAAAAUCAAAAUCAAAAGUAAAUCAAACGAAUGGGAAACAACUGUCAUAUUCCUGACUUUGCACAUCCAUUUACCCAAAGAAUUACUCUAGUUCCAAGUUUUAAAUCUAUUGACCGG
RNAcentral lists this long non-coding RNA (969 nucleotides) under Mytilus galloprovincialis (Mediterranean mussel). The record is from RNAcentral. Lineage: Eukaryota; Metazoa; Mollusca; Bivalvia; Mytilida; Mytilidae.